UGCCAGACUCCUACGGGAGGCAGCAGUGGGGGAUAUUGCACAAUGGGGGGAACCCUGAUGCAGCGACGCCGCGUGAGUGAAGAAGUAUUUCGGUAUGUAAAGCUCUAUCAGCAGGGAAGAAAAUGACGGUACCUGACUAAGAAGCCCCGGCUAACUACGUGCCAGCAGCCGCGGUAAUACGUAGGGGGCGAGCGUUAUCCGGAUUUACUGGGUGUAAAGGGGGCGCAGACGGCCAUGGCAAGCCCGGUGUGAAAGGUGCGGGCACAACCCGCAGACUGCACUGGUAACUGCCUGGCUGGAGUGCCGGAGGGGUAAGCGGAAUUCCUGGUGUAGCGGUGAAAUGCGUAGAUAUCAGGAGGAACACCGGUGGCGAAGGCGGCUUACUGGACGGCAACUGACGUUGAGGCCCGAAAGCGUGGGGAGCGAACAGGAUUAGAUACCCUGGUAA
Molecule: ribosomal RNA, 448 nt
Filed under: uncultured bacterium
Lineage: Bacteria
Description: bacterial SSU rRNA
Rfam family: Bacterial small subunit ribosomal RNA
Source: RNAcentral